UACGUAGGGGCCAAGCGUUGUCCGGAUUUAUUGGGCGUAAAGAGCGUGUAGGCGGCCAGGUAGGUCCGUUGUGAAAACUGGAGGCUUAACCUCCAGCUGUCGAUGGAAACCAUCUGGCUAGAGUCCGGAAGAGGAGAGUGGAAUUCCUGGUGUAGCGGUGAAAUGCGCAGAUAUCAGGAGGAACACCGGUGGCGAAGGCGGGUCUCUGGGCCGAGAUUGACGCUGAGGCGCGAAAGCCAGGGGAGCAAACGGG
This 253-nucleotide ribosomal RNA is filed under the name uncultured bacterium. RNAcentral describes it as "partial 16S ribosomal RNA". It matches the Rfam family "Bacterial small subunit ribosomal RNA", at positions 524 to 776 of the family's 1533-position model. The record is from RNAcentral.